RNAcentral lists this long non-coding RNA (350 nucleotides) under Felis catus (domestic cat). RNAcentral describes it as "lncRNA (ENSFCAG00000051257.1)". The record is from RNAcentral. Lineage: Eukaryota; Metazoa; Chordata; Mammalia; Carnivora; Felidae.
AAAUGUGGUUAAGUAUAAAUGGUAACCUUUAAAAGGGAAUAUUGGAUUGGUGUAUUGCUUUUUUUUUUUUUUUAACUUGCCUUCUUAGGAUCAAGAAAAGAAGAGCUUUUGAGCAAAUUAUAAAGGGAAGACGAGGUGGCUACCGAAAGGCCUUGGAAAGAGAAACCUCCUUAUGGAUUGGCUGCCACCCUCUCUCAAAUAUUUUUAAAGAAUCCAGAAGGUUCUAGGAUUAAAGGGAAAUACAAGGUCCAAAAGUUCUGUUUGUUUGUUGUCAAGGAACCAGGAACUCUAUGAUGGAAACCACAUCAAUGGUGUUGGUCAACACCUCAAUCUCUUCAAUGCUCAACAAG